AAACUGAAGAGUUUGAUCCUGGCUCAGAUUGAACGCUGGCGGCAUGCCUUACACAUGCAAGUCGAACGCGAAAGCGGGGCAACCCGCAAGUAGAGUGGCGAACGGGUGAGUAACACAUCGGAACGUGUCCAGUAGCGGGGGAUAACCUGUCGAAAGAUAGGCUAAUACCGCAUACGACCUACGGGUGAAAGCGGGGGCCGCAAGGCCUCGCACUAUUGGAGCGGCCGAUGCCGGAUUAGCUAGUUGGUGGGGUAACGGCCCACCAAGGCAACGAUCCGUAGCUGGUCUGAGAGGACGAUCAGCCACACUGGAACUGAGACACGGUCCAGACUCCUACGGGAGGCAGCAGUGGGGAAUUUUGGAC
RNAcentral lists this ribosomal RNA (364 nucleotides) under Betaproteobacteria bacterium. Its description in RNAcentral is "bacterial SSU rRNA". It matches the Rfam family "Bacterial small subunit ribosomal RNA", at positions 1 to 369 of the family's 1533-position model. Lineage: Bacteria; Pseudomonadati; Pseudomonadota; Betaproteobacteria. The record is from RNAcentral.